This 436-nucleotide ribosomal RNA is filed under the name uncultured Anaerovorax sp. RNAcentral describes it as "partial 16S ribosomal RNA". It matches the Rfam family "Bacterial small subunit ribosomal RNA", at positions 341 to 792 of the family's 1533-position model. The record is from RNAcentral. Lineage: Bacteria; Bacillati; Bacillota; Clostridia; Peptostreptococcales; Anaerovoracaceae.
ACGGAAGGCAGCAGUGGGGAAUAUUGGGCAAUGGGCGCAAGCCUGAUGCAGCAACGCCGCGUGAGUGAUGAAGGUCUUCGGAUCGUAAAACUCUGUCCUUAAGAACGAAACAAAUGACGGUACUUUUGGAGGAAGCCCCGGCUAACUACGUGCCAGCAGCCGCGGUAAUACGUAGGGGGCGAGCGUUAUCCGGAAUUAUUGGGCGUAAAGAGUACGUAGGUGGUUUGGUAAGCGUGAGGUGAAAGCCCGGGGCUCAACUCCGGUAAGCCUUUCGAACUGCCAGACUUGAGUGCAGGAGGGGAAAGUGGAAUUCCUAGCGUAGCGGUGAAAUGCGUAGAUAUUAGGAAGAACACCAGUGGCGAAGGCGAUCUACUGGACGAUAACUGACGCUGAGGCGCGAAAGCGUGGGGAGCAAACAGGAUUAGAUACCCUGGUA